Molecule: ribosomal RNA, 253 nt
Filed under: uncultured bacterium
Lineage: Bacteria
Description: partial 16S ribosomal RNA
Rfam family: Bacterial small subunit ribosomal RNA
Source: RNAcentral
GACAGAGGUCCCGAGCGUUAGGCGGAAUCACUGGGCUUAAAGCGUGUGUAGGCGGAUUGGUAAGUACCUUGUGAAAUCCCACGGCUUAACCGUGGAACUGCUUGGUAUACUGCUUAUCUUGGGCCACUUAGGGGCUACCGGAACAAACGUUGGAGCGGUGAAAUGCGUAGAUAUCGUUUGGAACGCCAAUGGUGAAAACAGGUAGCUGGGAGUGUGCCGACGCUGAGACACGAAAGCCAGGGGAGCGAACGGG